UAACUAAUGACGAGGAUCAAGGACAAACAAUUCAUGAUGCUUUUUAUAUUACAAAGAGUUUACAGCUACAAAGAGAGUUUCUGGUAAGACAUGUACAACUAGAAGAGAUCAAAAGAAAAAGAACAACAGUUCAGAUUUCACGCAGAAAAAGAACAUUCAAAUAUAAGCUCUCAAAUGCAGGCAGUAAAACGCGUGUAUGCAGAAUUAUGUUUCUAAAUAUUUUGGGCAUUUCGGAAAAGACCUUGAGAACAGCGUUGACCAGAUUGACUGAAGAAGGAACAGUAGCUUUGGAUAAGCGUGAAGGACGAAGUAAAAAACUAGCAGAGCUAGAUAAACAACUAAGAGACUCGGCAUUUGAUCAUAUACUUAGAACAUUGAAAGGCUAGAAUUAGUAAACAACAACUUUGUUUGAGUCCAACAUGUGCACAGGGGCAAGAGGGGUGUGUUGUUUACAAACAUAUUUGACGAUUCUCUGUUGUCAAGUCGAUGCGAAUUUCCAACGGAGGAAAUUUUUUGCUAUAUUUUAACAACCAUUAUAACGGUAAUUUAACUUACUUGUGUUGUAUUUUAUAGGAAAAUUUAAAUUAAAAAAUAUAAAUACUACAAUUAACCUAUUUUAAGAAUAAAUAUAAUAUCCUUAAGCAAAAAAAAACAAAAUUAUUAACAUUCUUAUCCCUAAAACCGUUUCUAAAAAAUUUGAAGCGACAACACCGGAACUUAAGCGCCUGAGCCAUACGCAUAAUGUCAUCUGUCAAACGGCUUUUUGUUUAUGUUCGGGAUUCGUGUAUUUUCUUUAAUUUUUUGGUUUCAAAAGGAAAAAGGCCACAUUUUAGUGUUUUUUUAAAUUGCUAGGAUGGCAAAAACUUAUGUCGUUUGUGCCGCAUCAUGAUAAAAAGGUGAUUCAAGCCGAUCUUUUCACAAGAUUUCUGAUGCACUGGUUAAAAACACAGCAGCCGAUAAUUCAGUUAAUUUACCAAGUGAUUUACCCUUUAAAGCUGCAAGGGUAGUUUUCCUGAAGAGUGCAAAAACUUCUUUAGCUUCCAAAAUGGUAUAUAGUACAAACAGUGAAGGUAAUAUAGACAAAUCUGAUCAUCAUUCAUUCAUCAUCAACAAUAACUGCAUCUGAGAUUAAUAGUUACUGUGGGGUCUAGGUCAACAAUUACUAUUUCCCAUCCAAUCCGUUUUUGUUUAACUGCUACACAUUCCCUGACUCUGCCAAGGAAAAGGUAAAAAUACACUCAAAAUAGACAUCAUUAUAGCACAUUUAAAAAUUAUUGUUCAAUUCUUUCUCUAAGUACAAAUAAGACUUUUAU
Long non-coding RNA from Anthonomus grandis grandis, 1313 nucleotides. RefSeq lists it as uncharacterized. The record is from RefSeq and is a predicted model, not a curated record. The transcript is spliced from 3 exons. NCBI's taxonomy places the organism in Eukaryota, Metazoa, Arthropoda, Insecta, Coleoptera, Curculionidae.